This 280-nucleotide ribosomal RNA is filed under the name uncultured bacterium. RNAcentral describes it as "partial 16S ribosomal RNA". It matches the Rfam family "Bacterial small subunit ribosomal RNA", at positions 515 to 793 of the family's 1533-position model. The record is from RNAcentral.
CCGCGGUAAUACGGAGGGUGCGAGCGUUAAUCGGAAUUACUGGGCGUAAAAGCGCAUGCAGGUGGUUUGUUAAGUCAGAUGUGAAAGCCCGGGGCUCAACCUCGGAAUUGCAUUUGAAACUGGCAAACUAGAGUACUGUAGAGGGGGUAGAAUUUCAGGUGUAGCGGUGAAAUGCGUAGAGAUCUGAAGGAAUACCGGUGGCGAAGGCGGCCCCCUGGACAGAUACUGACACUCAGAUGCGAAAGCGUGGGGAGACAAACAGGAUUAGAUACCCUGGUAG